UAGGGAAUCUUCCGCAAUGGACGAAAGUCUGACGGAGCGACGCCGCGUGAGCGAGGAAGGUCUUCGGAUCGUAAAGCUCUGUUGUUAGGGAAGAAGAAGUGCCGUUCGAACAGGGCGGCACGGUGACGGUACCUAACGAGAAAGCCCCGGCUAACUACGUGCCAGCAGCCGCGGUAAUACGUAGGGGGCGAGCGUUGUCCGGAAUUAUUGGGCGUAAAGCGCGCGCAGGCGGUCCCUUAAGUCUGAUGUGAAAGCCCACGGCUUAACCGUGGAGGGUCAUUGGAAACUGGGGGACUUGAGUGCAGAAGAGGAGAGCGGAAUUCCACGUGUAGCGGUGAAAUGCGUAGAGAUGUGGAGGAACACCAGUGGCGAAGGCGGCUCUCUGGUCUGUAACUGACGCUGAGGCGCGAAAGCGUGGGGAGCAAACAGG
This 430-nucleotide ribosomal RNA is filed under the name Bacillota bacterium. RNAcentral describes it as "Firmicutes bacterium partial 16S ribosomal RNA". It matches the Rfam family "Bacterial small subunit ribosomal RNA", at positions 355 to 776 of the family's 1533-position model. The record is from RNAcentral. Lineage: Bacteria; Bacillati; Bacillota.